AGAGCUUGCUUUCUCGAGCGAGUGGCGAACGGGUGAGUAACGCGUGAGGAACCUGCCUCAAAGAGGGGGACAACAGUUAGAAAUGACUGCUAAUACCGCAUAAGACCACAGCACCGCAUGGUGCAGGGGUAAAACUCCGGUGGUAUGAGAUGGACCCGCGUCUGAUUAGCUAGUUGGUGAGAUAACAGCCCACCAAGGCGACGAUCAGUAGCCGACCUGAGAGGGUGACCGGCCACAUUGGGACUGAGACACGGCCCAGACUCC
Molecule: ribosomal RNA, 264 nt
Filed under: uncultured Lachnospiraceae bacterium
Lineage: Bacteria; Bacillati; Bacillota; Clostridia; Lachnospirales; Lachnospiraceae
Description: partial 16S ribosomal RNA
Rfam family: Bacterial small subunit ribosomal RNA
Source: RNAcentral